GACGAACGCUGGCGGCGUGCUUAACACAUGCAAGUCGAACGGAAAGGCCCUGCUUGCAGGGUCCUCGAGUGGCGAACGGGUGAGUAACACGUGGGUGAUCUGCCCUGCACUUCGGGAUAAGCCUGGGAAACUGGGUCUAAUACCGGAUAGGAGCCAUUUUUAGUGUGAUGGUUGGAAAGUUUUUUCGGUGUAGGAUGAGCUCGCGGCCUAUCAGCUUGUUGGUGGGGUAAUGGCCUACCAAGGCGGCGACGGGUAGCCGGCCUGAGAGGGUGGACGGCCACAUUGGGACUGAGAUACGGCCCAGACUCCUACGGGAGGCAGCAGUGGGGAAUAUUGCACAAUGGGCGCAAGCCUGAUGCAGCGACGCCGCGUGGGGGAUGACGGCCUUCGGGUUGUAAACUCCUUUCGCUAGGGACGAAGCUUUUUGGGACGGGACCGAGAUAAGAAGCACCGGCUAACUACGU
Molecule: ribosomal RNA, 464 nt
Filed under: uncultured bacterium
Lineage: Bacteria
Description: partial 16S ribosomal RNA
Rfam family: Bacterial small subunit ribosomal RNA
Source: RNAcentral